RNAcentral lists this ribosomal RNA (253 nucleotides) under uncultured bacterium. RNAcentral describes it as "partial 16S ribosomal RNA". It matches the Rfam family "Bacterial small subunit ribosomal RNA", at positions 524 to 776 of the family's 1533-position model. The record is from RNAcentral.
CACGUAAGGGGCGAGCGUUGUUCGGAAUUAUUGGGCGUAAAGGGUACGUAGGCGGUUGAGUAAGCCCGGCGUGAAAUCCUGCAGCUUAACUGUAGAGCUGCGCUGGGAACUGCUGAACUUGAGUCAUGGAAGGGAAGUUAGAAUUCCAGGUGUAGGGGUGAAAUCUGUAGAUAUCUGGAAGAAUACCGGUGGCGAAGGCGAACUUCUGGCCAAUGACUGACGCUGAGGUACGAAAGUGCGGGGAGCAAACAGG